Molecule: transfer RNA, 90 nt
Filed under: Succinivibrio sp.
Lineage: Bacteria; Pseudomonadati; Pseudomonadota; Gammaproteobacteria; Aeromonadales; Succinivibrionaceae
Also listed under: 2 other names
Description: tRNA-Ser
Rfam family: tRNA
About the family: Transfer RNA (tRNA) molecules are approximately 80 nucleotides in length. Their secondary structure includes four short double-helical elements and three loops (D, anti-codon, and T loops).
Source: RNAcentral
GGAAAGAUGGCAGAGCGGUUGAAUGCACCGCACUCGAAAUGCGGCAAUCUCUCACGAGAUUCGGGGGUCCAAAUCCCCCUCUUUCCGCCA